AACGAGGCCGACCUGCGGCUGAGUUACCUGCGGAGGGAUCAUUACCGAGUUAUACAACUCAUCAACCCCUGUGAACUUACCUACAACGUUGCUUCGGCGGGAACAGACGGCCCCGUAAAACGGGCCGCCCCCGCCAGAGGACCCCUAACUCUGUUUUUAUAAUGUUUUUCUGAGUAAACAAGCAAAUAAAUUAAAACUUUUAACAAUGGAUCU
This 213-nucleotide unclassified non-coding RNA is filed under the name soil metagenome. Its description in RNAcentral is "partial contains 5.8S ribosomal RNA, internal transcribed spacer 2, and large subunit ribosomal RNA". The record is from RNAcentral.